Pelobates cultripes (western spadefoot toad) is the source of this 345-nucleotide non-coding RNA. The record is from the annotation of a GenBank genome assembly. NCBI's taxonomy places the organism in Eukaryota, Metazoa, Chordata, Amphibia, Anura, Pelobatidae.
UUUUGCAUAAUGGAUUUGUGUUGUGCUGCUGCUGGCCCUUUAAGAACCAUCUGGGGACAUACUGUGGAGUUACUGGGUGGCCACCAUUUCCUGUAUCAGAAGCACAUGGUGAGAACAAUGGAUGGCGGCCAUUUUAACUCACAGACACUGUUUGGACUUUUCAACAUGGUGCCAUCUUGCCAGUAUUUGGUGCACAGAGACAUCGUGCAGUGGUUUUGGACUAUACAGCAGGGGACACAUUAUAAAGUGAUUGUUUUUCAUUUAGCCUGUAUAUGUUCUGCAGAAUCUGCAUUAAACUGUAUUUUCCAAAGUACUGAACGGAUCUGGGUGAAUUUUGGAUAUGUG